UGGAGCAUGUGGUUUAAUUCGAUGAUACGCGAGGAACCUUACCUGGGCUCAAAUGUAUGUUGACGUAUUCUGAAAGGGAUACUUCUUCGGACAAUAUACAAGGUGCUGCAUGGUUGUCGUCAGCUCGUGCCGUGAGGUGUCGGGUUAAGUCCCAUAACGAGCGCAACCCCUAUCAUUAGUUGCCAUCAGGUCAAGCUGGGGACUCUAAUGAAACUGCCUACGCAAGUAGUGAGGAAGGUGGGGAUGACGUCAAAUCAGCACGGCCCUUACGUCCAGGGCUACACACGUGCUACAAUGGCCGAUACAGAGGGCAGCUACCUGGUAACAGGAUACAAAUCUCCAAAGUCGGUCUCAGUUCGGAUCGGAGUCUGCAACCCGACUCCGUGAAGUUGGAUUCGCUAGUAAUCGCGCAUCAGCCAUGGCGCGGUGAAUACGUUCCCGGGCCUU
Molecule: ribosomal RNA, 447 nt
Filed under: uncultured Sphingobacteriales bacterium
Lineage: Bacteria; Pseudomonadati; Bacteroidota; Sphingobacteriia; Sphingobacteriales
Description: bacterial SSU rRNA
Rfam family: Bacterial small subunit ribosomal RNA
Source: RNAcentral